UCUGAAGUAACACUGUUUUACUCGCCUCA
Molecule: non-coding RNA, 29 nt
Filed under: Rattus norvegicus (Norway rat)
Lineage: Eukaryota; Metazoa; Chordata; Mammalia; Rodentia; Muridae
Source: RNAcentral